This 2051-nucleotide long non-coding RNA is filed under the name Daucus carota (carrot). RNAcentral's name for it is "long non-coding RNA (DCAR_LNC001426)". The record is from RNAcentral. Lineage: Eukaryota; Viridiplantae; Streptophyta; Magnoliopsida; Apiales; Apiaceae.
UUUGUUUGCCUUAGAAAAAUUUUUCCAAGUAAGAUAGCUCAUGAUUGAACCGGGGUACUCGGGUUCUCAAAAUUGAACCGGGGUAGCUUUUGCUUUUUGCCUUGGAAAAUCUUUCCAAGUAAGAUAGCUCAUGAUUGAACCGGGGUACUCGGGUUCUCAAAAUUGAACCGAGGUAGCUUUUGCUUUUUGCCUUGGAAAAUUUUUCCAAGUAAGAGAUAGAUCAUGAUUGAACCCGGGUAGCUUUUUGUUUGUUUGCCUUGGAGAAUAUUUUUUCAAGUAAGAUAGCUCAUGAUUGAACCGGGGUACCCGGGUUCUCAAAAUUGAACCGGGGUAGCUUUUGCUUUUUGCCUUGGAAAAUUUUUCCAAGUAAGAGAUAUGUCAUAACUGGACCGGGGUAGCUUUUUGUUUGUUUGCCUUAGAAAAUUUUUUCCAAGUAAGAUAGCUCAUGAUUGAACCGGGGUACUCGGGUUCUCAAAAUUGAACCGGGGUAGCUUUUGCUUUUUGCCUUGGAAAAUUUUUCCAAGUAAGAGAUAUAUCAUGAGUGAACCCGGGUAGCUUUUUGUUUGUUUGCCUUGGAAAAUAAUUUUUCCAAGUAAGAGAUAUGUCAUAACUGGACCGGGGUAGCUUUUUGUUUGUUUGCCUUAGAAAAAUUUUUCCAAGUAAGAUAGCUCAUGAUUGAACCGGGGUACUCGGGUUCUCAAAAUUGAACCGGGGUAGCUUUUGCUUUUUGCCUUGGAAAAUUUUUCCGAGUAAGAGAUAGAUCAUGAUUGAACCCGGGUAGCUUUUUGUUUGUUUGCCUAGGAAAAUAAUUUUUCUAAGUAAGAGAUAUGUCAUAACUGGACCGGGGUAGCUUUUUGUUUGUUUGCCUUAGAAAAUAAUUUUUCCAAGUAAGAGAUAGCUCAUGAUUGCACCCGGGUAGCUUUUGCUUUUUUGCCUUCAAAAAUUUUUCGAAAAAUUUUUCUAAGUAAGAGAUAACUGAAAAGUGAACCCGGGUAGCCUUUUGGUUGUUUGUCUUAGAAAAUUUUUUCCAAGUAUGAUUGCUUGGUCCGGACUCAUUAUUGAAUCAGGGUUAGUAUGAUUGCGUAGUCCGGACUCAUCUAAGUCAGGACUAGUAUGGUUGCUUAGAAAAACUUCUUGCUGAUUGCUUCUUGAAGACAUCUAAUAUAAGCCGAGAGUGCCUCAUUAUCAUACUCCCGUACCCGGAGUCCCUUCUAACUUUCUUCUACAGCUCAUGGAUCAUGUCCCAUAGAUUGGUCUGAUACUCGUUAUUCUCAUGGUCUUAGAUCAGCUCUUGGGUUGGCUCAUUCCUAGAUCGUUUGGAGCGGGACUUGCUCAUGAGCCUUUCUUCUUAUAACUGGAUCCUUCUUUGAAUUUUUUGCUCUAGCUUUUCUUCUUCUUCUCUCCGGAUGUGUUCUUUUUUUUUUGGCCCAGAUCUUUCGCCUUGUGGCAUCACUUUCUCUCUGCUUCUUUUACCUUACUUUGUCACCAAUCCGGUCAAAGACGGAACCCCGGGAUUGGCGGGAAUUUUCAAAGUCUUCGGAAUCAGGAAUCAACCUGGGUCCUUUGAGGUUCUCGGCUCGUUGUUCCUGGUAUAACCGGAUUGCUUCGGCCAACUCUAUGUUGGUUAGAUAUGUAACAUGGUCUGCGGUCACCGGGACAUCGAUGCACUUUAACUGGUUCAUUUCAAUUGUGACCCGGGCAUCGUCUAGGUUGAUCCGGGUCUCUUCUGGAUUGAUCCCGGUCAAGAGUGGUUUAGAGAUGAGAUCCUGAUGUGGAUUGUCCUGGUCCACCGGGUUGAACUGCUCGGAUCGGGUUGAUUGGGUUUGGGUUUUUCCACCCCUUGUCAUGAUUAUAGUGAACAACUCAAACAAGAACUACCCAGGGAGUAUGCUUGCUUUUUGGUGAAAGUGUAUGUGUGCAGUAUAGACAGUAGUGGAAUGAUAGAAAUAGUGUAAGCAGAUAGUCAACUUACUACUUCAAGAAAUGCUAGAAAUAGUUAAAUGACAAAGGUGUAAGGGACUACAGGACAAGGUGUCUUGAUGUACUACAGA